UGGCUCAGAUUGAACGCUGGCGGCAGGCCUAACACAUGCAAGUCGAGCGGUAGAGAGAAGCUUGCUUCUCUUGAGAGCGGCGGACGGGUGAGUAAUGCCUAGGAAUCUGCCUGGUAGUGGGGGAUAACGUUCGGAAACGGACGCUAAUACCGCAUACGUCCUACGGGAGAAAGCAGGGGACCUUCGGGCCUUGCGCUAUCAGAUGAGCCUAGGUCGGAUUAGCUAGUUGGUGGGGUAAUGGCUCACCAAGGCGACGAUCCGUAACUGGUCUGAGAGGAUGAUCAGUCACACUGGAACUGAGACACGGUCCAGACUCCUACGGGAGGCAGCAGUGGGGAAUAUUGGACAAUGGGCGAAAGCCUGAUCCAGCCAUGCCGCGUGUGUGAAGAAGGUCUUCGGAUUGUAAAGCACUUUAAGUUGGGAGGAAGGGCCAUUACCUAAUACGUGAUGGUUUUGACGUUACCGACAGAAUAAGCACCGGCUAACUCUGUGCCAGCAGCCGCGGUAAUACAGAGGGUGCAAGCGUUAAUCGGAAUUACUGGGCGUAAAGCGCGCGUAGGUGGUUUGUUAAGUUGGAUGUGAAAUCCCCGGGCUCAACCUGGGAACUGCAUUCAAAACUGACUGACUAGAGUAUGGUAGAGGGUGGUGGAAUUUCCUGUGUAGCGGUGAAAUGCGUAGAUAUAGGAAGGAACACCAGUGGCGAAGGCGACCACCUGGACUGAUACUGACACU
Molecule: ribosomal RNA, 732 nt
Filed under: Pseudomonas sp. 110623_PC_C1_H6
Lineage: Bacteria; Pseudomonadati; Pseudomonadota; Gammaproteobacteria; Pseudomonadales; Pseudomonadaceae
Description: bacterial SSU rRNA
Rfam family: Bacterial small subunit ribosomal RNA
Source: RNAcentral